UAAAAACCCCGACUUCGGAAGGGGUGUAUUUAUUAGAUACAAAACCAAUGCCCUUCGGGGCUCUUUGGUGAUUCAUGAUAACUAUACGAAUCGCACGGCCUUGCGCCGGCGAUGGUUCAUUCAAAUUUCUUCCCUAUCAACUUUCGAUGUUUGGGUAUUGGCCAAACAUGGUUGCAACGGGUAACGGAGGGUUAGGGCUCGACCCCGGAGAAGGAGCCUGAGAAACGGCUACUACAUCCAAGGAAGGCGGCAGGCGCGCAAAUUACCCAAUCCCGACUCGGGGAGGUAGUGACAAUAAAUACUGAUACAGGGCCCUUUCGGGCCUUGUAAUUGGAAUGAGUACAAUUUAAAUCCCUUAACGAGGAACAAUUGGAGGGCAAGUCUGGUGCCAGCAGCCGCGGUAAUUCCAGCUCCAAUAGCGUAUAUUAAAGUUGUUGUGGUUAAAAAGCUCGUAGUUGAACCUUGGGCCUGGCUGGCCGGUCCGCCUCACCGCGUGCACUGGUCCGGCCGGGCCUUUCCCUCUGUGGAACCCCAUACCCUUCACUGGGCGUGGCGGGGAAACAGGACAUUUACUUU
RNAcentral lists this ribosomal RNA (576 nucleotides) under uncultured eukaryote. Its description in RNAcentral is "SSU rRNA". It matches the Rfam family "Eukaryotic small subunit ribosomal RNA", at positions 174 to 758 of the family's 1831-position model. The record is from RNAcentral.